UCCGGUAUCAAUCCACCAUGUAUUAUCAUCUUGUGCCAUAUUAAUUUCAGAUAUCAUUGCAACGAACUUUUUGUUAUUAUCAGCCUUAGAAGAUGAUUUCUUCUUUAAAAAUCGACAUUCAUUCUUGAAAUGUCCCGGCUUUCCACAAUGAUAGCAUGAGCCCUUUUGUUUUUUUUUUUGAACUUAGGUGCUCUAUCAGUCUGAUUGAACUUUCUCUUGAAUGGUUUAGUAGUCUGUACUUCCUCCGUAACAUGUACUUUGGCAUUUUCAGAAUUUAGGUUCUGA
Molecule: long non-coding RNA, 285 nt
Filed under: Gossypium barbadense (sea-island cotton)
Lineage: Eukaryota; Viridiplantae; Streptophyta; Magnoliopsida; Malvales; Malvaceae
Description: long non-coding RNA (GBAR_LNC023553)
Source: RNAcentral